Molecule: ribosomal RNA, 276 nt
Filed under: Solirubrobacterales bacterium
Lineage: Bacteria; Bacillati; Actinomycetota; Thermoleophilia; Solirubrobacterales
Description: partial 23S ribosomal RNA
Rfam family: Bacterial large subunit ribosomal RNA
Source: RNAcentral
CGUCAAGAUAGUAAGGGCGUACGGUGGAUGCCUUGGCACCAGGAGUAGAUGAAGGACGUGGACGGCUGCGAUAAGCCGCGGUGAGGCGCUGAACAGCCUUUGACCCGCGGAUUUCCGAAUGGGGAAACCCGGCGCUGGUAAUGCGGCGUCAUCUGUCGGUGAAUACAUAGCCGGCAGAGUGCAAGCGAGCGAACUGAAACAUCUAAGUAGCUCGAGGAAAGAAAAUCAAACGAGACUCCCUGAGUAGUGGCGAGCGAAAAGGGAUCAGCCCAAACC